RNAcentral lists this ribosomal RNA (245 nucleotides) under uncultured Haliangium sp. RNAcentral describes it as "partial 16S ribosomal RNA". It matches the Rfam family "Bacterial small subunit ribosomal RNA", at positions 524 to 768 of the family's 1533-position model. Lineage: Bacteria; Pseudomonadati; Myxococcota; Haliangiales; Kofleriaceae. The record is from RNAcentral.
UACGGAGGGUGCAAGCGUUGCUCGGAAUCAUUGGGCGUGAAGCGCACGUAGGCGGCCUGUUAAGUCGGAUGUGAAAGCCCCGGGCUCAACCCGGGAAGUGCAUUCGAAACUGGCAGGCUUGAAUAUGGAAGAGGGUCGCGGAAUUCCCGGUGUAGAGGUGAAAUUCGUAGAUAUCGGGAGGAACACCAGUGGCGAAGGCGGCGACCUGGGCCAAUAUUGACGCUGAGGUGCGAAAGCGUGGGGAG